UAAUGUGUCCUAGGCUUAAGCCCUCAGCUU
This 30-nucleotide non-coding RNA is filed under the name Rattus norvegicus (Norway rat). Lineage: Eukaryota; Metazoa; Chordata; Mammalia; Rodentia; Muridae. The record is from RNAcentral.